This 2595-nucleotide long non-coding RNA is filed under the name Gallus gallus (chicken). Lineage: Eukaryota; Metazoa; Chordata; Aves; Galliformes; Phasianidae. The record is from RNAcentral.
GUGUAAAGCAGCAGAGAAAUUCACAGCUCACUAGAUGAUGUAAACUCCAAUGCAUUUUGAAUUAAAAUGCUACUUUCUGCAUUUAUUAUUGAGAUUCAAAAUACUUCACAUUGUAGUGCUCGUGUAUUAUAAAUGCAGUGGGAACAUCCCUAUACAGAGAUGCAACGUUUAUUUUAUGCAAUCCGGGUAGCAAAAAUGAAAGAAUUUAGAAAAUAGCAUAUAGAAGGGCUGCCCCCAUCAGGCUACUUCAUAAACCACUACAAACAGGCAGCACCAUCACUUAAGACAAUAGUGUGGUUAUUCCGAAGUACACACUUCAGUGCUCCACUGGCAAAAACAGUACCAUUAGACUACAGAGUAUUCUAUAUGUUACUACUAAGAUCAUAAAUACAAAUCUCCCCAAAGUUCUCCACUUCCAACACCGUGUUUCUCAAAAGUGUUUGCAUUGUUGAGGCAUAUCAUAUUGCAUAGUUCUACAGACAUGAGAUACUACUGCUUGCAUUGCUGUUGCAAAUGGCCACAUUACUUAGUGUAGAUCCCACCAAAAUAGGAAGACUUCAUGCAGAUUAUCAGAAGUCUUAGCUUGAAUACAACAGUUCUCUUACACCACGUUUCACUUAUAAGUACUAUGAAUAACUUGGGAACUUGCAAAGGCUCUUUUGUAUCAUCAUCAAUUUUAUAGCUGAGCUGUAACUGUUAACUGUAGCACGUCCUGGAAACACUGGAAUAAAGUUUUGCACAGCACUUCUGCACUGGUCUCUGGGCACGACUUCCAGGAAGAACAUAAAACAACGAUCCUGUCAUCUCUGAUUGCAUAAAAAAAGCCAUAGCCGUGAUGCACCAUAGGGACUGCACAUCCACUAAAUCUGGUGUACCCAGUCAGACUAGUUGAAAGAACAAAGUUCCCACCUCCUCCACUGGCUGUGAAGGCAGGGUCCUCAAAGAGUUCUGGCACUGGCAGUCCCUGCUCCUGUGCUAUGAGAAGGAGACCCAGGAGAUGACGGUCAAAUCCUCUUCCAUUCUCACAAUCCUUCCUCAUUCUAUUGUGCUUUGCAAAUGCCGCAUGCAUCAGCUGUAGGCGUUCAUAAUUAGUGGCAGAAUGAUCCAACAUGGAUUUGCACCACUCUACUGCUUCCAUGGUACACGGUCUUAUGGUCUCCGUGCGGCCGUGAUAGAAACGCCUGGUCAUUGCAGUUUCAUAACAGCAGCCCGGGCGCCCAUGACAUUUGUAAUAAGCCAGCUGAAGGGCAAGCUGCACAAACGUAUCUGGAUGAAGUUUCCUCUUCUUAAUCAAGGCUUUGCCAAAGGAUGUGAAGGCGUAACACGCUAACUGCAGGUCAGAUACCUUUUCAUAAUACAUUUCUUUAGUACGUUCAAUUUCAUUUAUAAUUUUUUGGUCUACUGUGAACACAAGCUCCUCUGGGCAUGGAAUAUCCCUCACUUUAUCUGAUCCCUUCCAUUUUCCUUCAUUUUCAAUAAUCUUUUGUUCAGCAGAAGAUAACAUGGUGAUUAAAGCCAUGGCAUCAAAAGGAGAAUGGUCGCAGAAUGCACUAGAGGUUCCAUUGGAGAAGAAUAUGCUGUUGUAGGACUUAUCUCCCCAGCGCACAGUUGGAUCACCCGCUAGGCCCAGCCUCGUUAUCUCUGUGUAGUCCUCAGGAGUUGCAUGGGGACUAGAAUCAUCCAGGCUGACCACAAACAAACUUUGCUGAAUUUUUUCAAGAUGAGCUAGGUUCUUUGGGUCCAGACUAAUUAAAUAUUCACGUAUCUCCGCCCAUUUUGUCCUUUCAUUGCUUGUUAAAGCUGGCAGUCCUGGUCCAUCUGGUUCACUAUCGCAUCUUCUCUGGAUGAACGUAAGUUGCCUGGAAAGCUCUGGAGGAGUCAGCAUGUUGCCUUCAUGUACAGUAUCAAAUGCAAACACUCGGCCUCGACACAGGACUACUAAGUGAGAUGGGCAUUCACCUUCAGUCACAGUCUUAAAAUAGUUGCAGAGGGAGUCUCUGGUAAUUCCAGGCACCUUGCAAGUGUUAAAGAGCAUUCGAAAUUGGCUCAUGUCCAGAACAGCAUUCCCAGAUCUCUCUAUAGGCGCUUUCUCUUCUCGUAAUAGCUCCCAGUACUUCAGGGUGUGCCAUAUAUUUACACAUGCUCUCUCUAUCUGAGUGCCUUCUUUGGGUGGCCAGCAGUGUUCAAUAUAGGGACCAGGGCCUCCCAUGUUACAGUUUAUUUGCGUUGAUAUGCGAAGAUCAAGGUAAGCCACAUUCAGCCACCAGUCCUCCAGCCAAUUCCUUCUGGUUUUUGCUCUUUCCAGUAAUUUCUGAUGCAGCUCUUUGCCAAUCCCAUUUUCAAAUCUUUUAACGAUAUCCUCGGUUCUUUGAUAUUCUUCUUGAUUUAGAAAUGGCUUCACUGAGUCGAGGUAUUUACUUAAAGAUUCAUCCAGAGGAGGUACGGGCAGCGGAGGCAGGGAAUCUUGGUACUGAAAUGUUCGCUCUUCAGAGGACUCAAGCACUUGCUUUUCCAUGUUGUAGACCUCCCCGAGCCGCUGUCGUCCGCGGCCGAUCGCUCCCCGGCUGCCCGCCCUUACCUCUGCCCCACUUCCAA